GGGGAACUAGGUUUUAGCAAUUGAAAAACAUAAAUGACUUUAAUUAUAUGGAAAGAACGAGGAUUGUUUUCCUAGAAUGCAUCGGAAUGAGUAGAAACAGUAAUUGAGCAAAUGAAUUCCGAUAGAGGCAUAAUUGAUACUUGAAAACUCAAAUAAUAAUCUACAUUACUUCAACUGCGAUAACUUACAGGAGGGAAUUCUUAACAAUGCUUUCUAACAGUUAAUCUUGGUCAGGUUCUCAUCCUUCCAAAUAAAUCUCUUUGGAGUUAAAGCUAUAUUUUGGAAAUUAAUGACUUCUUCCAUGUGAGGCUAUCCUCAGAAGCCGACCAAAUUCUGAUAAAUCUAUAAAGCAAACUACGUUCUUUUCACUGGGAUCUGGAAGAGGAUGACAUUUAUGUAAUGGAUGAGUUUUGUGCCGUCCCCAGGAAAAUAAUCUCGUAUUUUACUAAGCUAUAGUCUGCAGAAAAAUUGCUGCUUUCAUACGCUUAAUAAAGACUCACUGAAACAUCUCACAGAAAUCCCUGAGGAUCAUCUCUGCAGUGAGCCCUGCUGGAAGUCUGAGGAGGGAAUGGUGAUGGGCCUGGGCAGCAGAAGAGCAGCACCAAGCCCUGCUCCUCCAGCUGAUGGCCUGAAGGCAAAUGGACAGGGAAGGAGGGGUUGGAGACCCUUCAAGAAGGAUGUGAGAGGGAUUUAGUGAAGUGACCGCGUGGGACCAGUGGGAACUGGGAAGAGCCUUUGGAGAUCCCCAGCAAGGGCUGGGUUUGGCCGACAGUUCAGGCAGCCAUGAAUUCAUGGUGAUGGAGGAGCCUUUGCUUUCCAAGGAUUAUCGCUGUCUGCCUUACAGCCUUCAAGUCCUGGCCCAGAGAGCCCCAGGGUAGGAGAUGCUGCACAGCACAAGCCAAAAGGUCUGCAUUUACCCCUGAAAUAUUUGCCAUCAAAGCACAGAGAACACGUUGGGCUGGCAGGAGGAUGUGAUUCGUGCCAGGAUGGGAAGUCUGGAGCUGAGAAAAGUCCAAAACCUUUACUGAGAGGACGUCUGACUGAUCUCACAGCAAACCGAGUUGCCCAAUGCUGAGGAUGUGGGUCUGUCAGCUUCCUAUCUAACCAAAGGCUCAACACUGUGAUUCUGGGCUGUGUCGGUGCCAUCAGGUGCAGGUGAGAGGCAGCACAUCCAUCCUGAGACCUAGAAAACAGACUGUGCAUGCCCAGAACCAACCCCAAGCCUUGCAACAGACUCUUGGCCAUUUACCUCCUGGAGCAAUGGGCAUUUUGCCAUUUCUCCCCAGAGCAGCAGCUGUGCCAUGCCUGGGCAGGGCAGGUCACUGCACGAAUGCAAUUUGCACCUGCUUGUCACAGCAGCACCAUGCCCACGUGUGUCAGGAUGGAGCCUGGAAGCGGCACAGCUCUCAGCUCAGCGGUGUCAGAACAAA
Gallus gallus (chicken) is the source of this 1430-nucleotide long non-coding RNA. Lineage: Eukaryota; Metazoa; Chordata; Aves; Galliformes; Phasianidae. The record is from Ensembl.